CGUAGGGUGCGAGCGUUGUCCGGAAUUAUUGGGCGUAAAGAGCUUGUAGGCGGUUUGUCGCGUCUGCUGUGAAAAUUCGGGGCUUAACUCCGGACGUGCAGUGGGUACGGGCAGGCUAGAGUGUGGUAGGGGAGACUGGAAUUCCUGGUGUAGCGGUGAAAUGCGCAGAUAUCAGGAGGAACACCGAUGGCGAAGGCAGGUCUCUGGGCCAUAACUGACGCUGAGAAGCGAAAGCAUGGGAGCGAACAGGAUU
This 253-nucleotide ribosomal RNA is filed under the name uncultured bacterium. Its description in RNAcentral is "partial 16S ribosomal RNA". It matches the Rfam family "Bacterial small subunit ribosomal RNA", at positions 526 to 779 of the family's 1533-position model. The record is from RNAcentral.